RNAcentral lists this ribosomal RNA (2770 nucleotides) under Escherichia coli. RNAcentral's name for it is "partial 23S ribosomal RNA". It matches the Rfam family "Bacterial large subunit ribosomal RNA". The record is from RNAcentral. Lineage: Bacteria; Pseudomonadati; Pseudomonadota; Gammaproteobacteria; Enterobacterales; Enterobacteriaceae.
GUUAAGCGACUAAGCGUACACGGUGGAUGCCCUGGCAGUCAGAGGCGAUGAAGGACGUGCUAAUCUGCGAUAAGCGUCGGUAAGGUGAUAUGAACCGUUAUAACCGGCGAUUUCCGAAUGGGGAAACCCAGUGUGUUUCGACACACUAUCAUUAACUGAAUCCAUAGGUUAAUGAGGCGAACCGGGGGAACUGAAACAUCUAAGUACCCCGAGGAAAAGAAAUCAACCGAGAUUCCCCCAGUAGCGGCGAGCGAACGGGGAGCAGCCCAGAGCCUGAAUCAGUGUGUGUGUUAGUGGAAGCGUCUGGAAAGGCGCGCGAUACAGGGUGACAGCCCCGUACACAAAAAUGCACAUGCUGUGAGCUCGAUGAGUAGGGCGGGACACGUGGUAUCCUGUCUGAAUAUGGGGGGACCAUCCUCCAAGGCUAAAUACUCCUGACUGACCGAUAGUGAACCAGUACCGUGAGGGAAAGGCGAAAAGAACCCCGGCGAGGGGAGUGAAAAAGAACCUGAAACCGUGUACGUACAAGCAGUGGGAGCACGCUUAGGCGUGUGACUGCGUACCUUUUGUAUAAUGGGUCAGCGACUUAUAUUCUGUAGCAAGGUUAACCGAAUAGGGGAGCCGAAGGGAAACCGAGUCUUAACUGGGCGUUAAGUUGCAGGGUAUAGACCCGAAACCCGGUGAUCUAGCCAUGGGCAGGUUGAAGGUUGGGUAACACUAACUGGAGGACCGAACCGACUAAUGUUGAAAAAUUAGCGGAUGACUUGUGGCUGGGGGUGAAAGGCCAAUCAAACCGGGAGAUAGCUGGUUCUCCCCGAAAGCUAUUUAGGUAGCGCCUCGUGAAUUCAUCUCCGGGGGUAGAGCACUGUUUCGGCAAGGGGGUCAUCCCGACUUACCAACCCGAUGCAAACUGCGAAUACCGGAGAAUGUUAUCACGGGAGACACACGGCGGGUGCUAACGUCCGUCGUGAAGAGGGAAACAACCCAGACCGCCAGCUAAGGUCCCAAAGUCAUGGUUAAGUGGGAAACGAUGUGGGAAGGCCCAGACAGCCAGGAUGUUGGCUUAGAAGCAGCCAUCAUUUAAAGAAAGCGUAAUAGCUCACUGGUCGAGUCGGCCUGCGCGGAAGAUGUAACGGGGCUAAACCAUGCACCGAAGCUGCGGCAGCGACACUAUGUGUUGUUGGGUAGGGGAGCGUUCUGUAAGCCUGUGAAGGUGUACUGUGAGGUAUGCUGGAGGUAUCAGAAGUGCGAAUGCUGACAUAAGUAACGAUAAAGCGGGUGAAAAGCCCGCUCGCCGGAAGACCAAGGGUUCCUGUCCAACGUUAAUCGGGGCAGGGUGAGUCGACCCCUAAGGCGAGGCCGAAAGGCGUAGUCGAUGGGAAACAGGUUAAUAUUCCUGUACUUGGUGUUACUGCGAAGGGGGGACGGAGAAGGCUAUGUUGGCCGGGCGACGGUUGUCCCGGUUUAAGCGUGUAGGCUGGUUUUCCAGGCAAAUCCGGAAAAUCAAGGCUGAGGCGUGAUGACGAGGCACUACGGUGCUGAAGCAACAAAUGCCCUGCUUCCAGGAAAAGCCUCUAAGCAUCAGGUAACAUCAAAUCGUACCCCAAACCGACACAGGUGGUCAGGUAGAGAAUACCAAGGCGCUUGAGAGAACUCGGGUGAAGGAACUAGGCAAAAUGGUGCCGUAACUUCGGGAGAAGGCACGCUGAUAUGUAGGUGAAGCGACUUGCUCGUGGAGCUGAAAUCAGUCGAAGAUACCAGCUGGCUGCAACUGUUUAUUAAAAACACAGCACUGUGCAAACACGAAAGUGGACGUAUACGGUGUGACGCCUGCCCGGUGCCGGAAGGUUAAUUGAUGGGGUUAGCGCAAGCGAAGCUCUUGAUCGAAGCCCCGGUAAACGGCGGCCGUAACUAUAACGGUCCUAAGGUAGCGAAAUUCCUUGUCGGGUAAGUUCCGACCUGCACGAAUGGCGUAAUGAUGGCCAGGCUGUCUCCACCCGAGACUCAGUGAAAUUGAACUCGCUGUGAAGAUGCAGUGUACCCGCGGCAAGACGGAAAGACCCCGUGAACCUUUACUAUAGCUUGACACUGAACAUUGAGCCUUGAUGUGUAGGAUAGGUGGGAGGCUUUGAAGUGUGGACGCCAGUCUGCAUGGAGCCGACCUUGAAAUACCACCCUUUAAUGUUUGAUGUUCUAACGUUGACCCGUAAUCCGGGUUGCGGACAGUGUCUGGUGGGUAGUUUGACUGGGGCGGUCUCCUCCUAAAGAGUAACGGAGGAGCACGAAGGUUGGCUAAUCCUGGUCGGACAUCAGGAGGUUAGUGCAAUGGCAUAAGCCAGCUUGACUGCGAGCGUGACGGCGCGAGCAGGUGCGAAAGCAGGUCAUAGUGAUCCGGUGGUUCUGAAUGGAAGGGCCAUCGCUCAACGGAUAAAAGGUACUCCGGGGAUAACAGGCUGAUACCGCCCAAGAGUUCAUAUCGACGGCGGUGUUUGGCACCUCGAUGUCGGCUCAUCACAUCCUGGGGCUGAAGUAGGUCCCAAGGGUAUGGCUGUUCGCCAUUUAAAGUGGUACGCGAGCUGGGUUUAGAACGUCGUGAGACAGUUCGGUCCCUAUCUGCCGUGGGCGCUGGAGAACUGAGGGGGGCUGCUCCUAGUACGAGAGGACCGGAGUGGACGCAUCACUGGUGUUCGGGUUGUCAUGCCAAUGGCACUGCCCGGUAGCUAAAUGCGGAAGAGAUAAGUGCUGAAAGCAUCUAAGCACGAAACUUGCC